Molecule: long non-coding RNA, 428 nt
Filed under: Equus asinus (donkey)
Lineage: Eukaryota; Metazoa; Chordata; Mammalia; Perissodactyla; Equidae
Description: lncRNA (ENSEASG00005033148.1)
Source: RNAcentral
CAGCCCUGGUACUGGCUACUAGGAAGAGGCACCUGGAGUUCUCUCCCUCUGAGGUCGGGACAACCUCCAGCAGACCUGUCUCCCCCUUUCCUUCAAACAGGAAGAUGAAGCUGGAGAUGAGGCUCGGUAUGAAAAUGAAUACCCUGAGAAAGCAUAGCAGGAUGCCGCCUUCUGUCCUCGGUCCCCAAGCACUGCUUUGAAAAUAGAGUGUUGCUGGCCUAGACUGUUGGGUUUCCUGCCACAUUUUGGCAUCUGCAGCGCCAUGGAGACGGAAAUGGUAGAGAUACGCUCUGCGGGAGGAAAUCAAGAUGAGGGAACUGAAGACUCAACAGAGAUGGCAAGAGAAAUGGCGCCUGACCUUUAGGCCGACUCCAUUCCUACCUUCUUGGAAGGAUGAGUUACUCUGUGGUGGGAUUAGGAGUGUGCUG